RNAcentral lists this ribosomal RNA (530 nucleotides) under Lysinibacillus macroides. RNAcentral describes it as "bacterial SSU rRNA". It matches the Rfam family "Bacterial small subunit ribosomal RNA", at positions 358 to 879 of the family's 1533-position model. The record is from RNAcentral. Lineage: Bacteria; Bacillati; Bacillota; Bacilli; Caryophanales; Bacillaceae.
GGAAUCUUCCGCAAUGGACGAAAGUCUGACGGAGCAACGCCGCGUGAACGAAGAAGGCCUUCGGGUCGUAAAGUUCUGUUGUUAGGGAAGAACAAGUACCAGAGUAACUGCUGGUACCUUGACGGUACCUAACCAGAAAGCCACGGCUAACUACGUGCCAGCAGCCGCGGUAAUACGUAGGUGGCAAGCGUUGUCCGGAAUUAUUGGGCGUAAAGCGCGCGCAGGUGGUUCCUUAAGUCUGAUGUGAAAGCCCACGGCUCAACCGUGGAGGGUCAUUGGAAACUGGGGAACUUGAGUGCAGAAGAGGAAAGUGGAAUUCCAAGUGUAGCGGUGAAAUGCGUAGAGAUUUGGAGGAACACCAGUGGCGAAGGCGACUUUCUGGUCUGUAACUGACACUGAGGCGCGAAAGCGUGGGGAGCAAACAGGAUUAGAUACCCUGGUAGUCCACGCCGUAAACGAUGAGUGCUAAGUGUUAGAGGGUUUCCGCCCUUUAGUGCUGCAGCUAACGCAUUAAGCACUCCGCCUGGGGA